This 485-nucleotide ribosomal RNA is filed under the name uncultured bacterium. RNAcentral's name for it is "partial 16S ribosomal RNA". It matches the Rfam family "Bacterial small subunit ribosomal RNA", at positions 28 to 523 of the family's 1533-position model. The record is from RNAcentral.
GACGAACGCUGGCGGCGUGCUUAACACAUGCAAGUCGAACGGUGAAAGCGGAGCUUGCUCCGCUGGAUCAGUGGCGAACGGGUGAGUAACACGUGGGCAACCUGCCCCUCACUUCGGGAUAACUCCGGGAAACCGGGGCUAAUACCGGAUAUGACCUCCUUGGGCAUCCUUGGAGGUGGAAAGUUUUUCGGUGAGGGAUGGGCCCGCGGCCUAUCAGCUUGUUGGUGAGGGAGUGGCUCACCAAGGCGACGACGGGUAGCCGGCCUGAGAGGGCGACCGGCCAUACUGGAACGGAGACACGGCACAGACUCCUACGGGAGGCAGCAGUGGGGAAUAUUGGGAAAUGGGCGAAAGCCUGACGCAGCAACGCCGCGUGCGGGAUGACGGCCUUCGGGUUGUAAACCGCUUUCAGCAGGGAAGAAGCCGCAAGGUGACGGUACCUGCAGAAGAAGCACCGGCUAACUACGUGCCAGCCGCCGCGGUAA